RNAcentral lists this non-coding RNA (244 nucleotides) under Fructobacillus sp. RNAcentral's name for it is "T-box sequence". It matches the Rfam family "T-box leader". From Rfam's summary of the family: Uncharged tRNA acts as the effector for transcription antitermination of genes in the T-box leader family. T-boxes are found upstream of many aminoacyl-tRNA synthetase genes and some amino acid biosynthetic genes usually in Gram-positive bacteria. The record is from RNAcentral. Lineage: Bacteria; Bacillati; Bacillota; Bacilli; Lactobacillales; Lactobacillaceae.
UAAUGAACAUCGACAGGAAAAGUAAAGGGUCGAGAUUGCACAGCGAAUCAACGGUGGUGGGAGUUGAUGAAUUAAAACCCUUGAAAAUGGUCCUUGAGUUUAAGUGACGGUGAGCUAUUGGUUAGCCGGAACCGGGUGCGCCCGUUAUUGCGUUAGGGUAUCUCUUUUUGACGUACCUGUCGAGUAACUAGUAGUGAUGCUAGUUAAAAUCAGGGUGGUAACACGACUUUAAUUCGUCCCGUAG